Molecule: ribosomal RNA, 522 nt
Filed under: Wuda sp. 1 BFS-2018
Lineage: Eukaryota; Metazoa; Arthropoda; Insecta; Hymenoptera; Ichneumonidae
Description: partial 16S large subunit ribosomal RNA
Rfam family: Archaeal large subunit ribosomal RNA (bases 390-522)
Source: RNAcentral
AAACAUGUCUUUAUGAUUAUAAUUUAAAGUYUAAUCUGCUCCAUGAAAUAUUUAAAUAGCUGCAGAAUUUUAACUGUACAAAGGUAGCAUAAUCAAUAGUUUUUUAAUUAAAAGCUGGAAUGAAUGAUUUGAUAAGGUAUUUAUUGUCUCAAAUUUAAUAAAAUUAGAAUUUUUUUUUUAGUAAAAAAACUAAAUAAAUUUUAAAAGACGAGAAGACCCUAUAGAAUUUUAUAAUUUAAAAUAAUUAAAUUUAAAUUAAAAAAUAAUUUUUAUUAAUUAAUUAUUUAAUUGGGGUAAUUAUUAAAUUUAUAAAAUUUUAAUAAAUAAAAACCAAAAAUAAUUGAAUUUUUGAUCUUGAAAUAUAAAUUAAGAGAAUAAAUUACCUUAGGGAUAACAGCGUAAUUUUUUUUUCGAGAUCAUAUUUAAAAAAAAGUUUGCGACCUCGAUGUUGAAUUAAGAUAAAAUUUUAAUGGAAAAAUUAAAAAUUUUUGGUCUGUUCRACCAUUAAAAUCUUACGUGAUC